This is a non-coding RNA of Mus caroli (Ryukyu mouse), 3393 nucleotides long. The record is from RefSeq and is a predicted model, not a curated record. Lineage: Eukaryota; Metazoa; Chordata; Mammalia; Rodentia; Muridae.
GAGCAUGCGCAAAUCAGCCCGGCGGGACACAAGUGUCAUGGCGCUCUCCAUCUGAAGUCUGUGCAGUUUCCUGGCAGGGGCUUGUGGUUUGUUCCUCUCAGUUCGGACAGAUCAUCUUUCAAGAGGACUUGAGACCAAUUUCAGAUAAUCAAGAUGCCUUCUGAGUCUUGUGAUGUACUGCUGGAUGACAUAGAAGAUAUCAUAUCACAGGAAGAUUCAAAGCCACAAGAUAGACAGUUCUCAAGAAAGCAUGUGUUUCCUAAAGUACGAAGGCGGAAUACCCAAAAAUAUUUGCAAGAAGAGCCCAGGCCACCAAGUGACAGCACUAUUCCAGGCAUACAGAAAAUUUGGAUACGAACAUGGGGCUGCUCACAUAAUAAUUCGGAUGGAGAAUACAUGGCUGGACAGCUUGCUGCCUAUGGCUAUAAAAUUACAGAGAAUGCAUCAGAUGCAGAUCUGUGGCUCCUGAACAGUUGUACUGUGAAAAAUCCAGCUGAAGACCACUUUAGAAACUCAAUCAAAAAAGCUCAAGAAGAGAAUAAGAAAGUUGUCCUCGCUGGCUGUGUUCCCCAAGCCCAGCCUCGUCAGGACUACCUCAAAGGACUGAGCAUCAUCGGGGUUCAGCAGAUAGAUCGUGUGGUAGAAGUUGUGGAGGAAACAAUAAAAGGUCACUCAGUGAGGCUCCUGGGCCAGAAGAAAGACAACGGGAAGCGCUUGGGUGGAGCUCGACUGGAUUUGCCGAAGAUCAGAAAGAAUCCGCUGAUCGAAAUCAUUUCCAUCAACACCGGGUGUCUCAAUGCUUGUACCUACUGCAAAACUAAACACGCCAGAGGCAACCUGGCCAGCUAUCCCAUUGAUGAACUUGUGCAGAGAGCCAAGCAGUCCUUUCAAGAGGGCGUUUGUGAGAUAUGGCUGACCAGCGAGGACACCGGGGCCUAUGGCAGAGACAUUGGCACAGAUCUCCCCACACUCCUGUGGAAGUUGGUGGAAGAGAUUCCUGAGGGUGCCAUGCUGAGGCUGGGCAUGACAAAUCCACCAUAUAUUUUAGAACAUCUGGAGGAAAUGGCAAAAAUCCUCAACCACCCCAGAGUCUACGCUUUCCUCCACAUCCCAGUGCAGUCUGCCUCUGACAGUGUGCUCAUGGACAUGAAGAGAGAGUACUGCGUGGCCGACUUCAAAAGAGUUGUGGAUUUUCUCAAGGAGAAGGUUCCUGGAAUAACGAUUGCUACGGAUAUUAUCUGUGGUUUUCCUGGAGAAACCGAUCAGGAUUUUCAAGAAACAGUGAAACUUGUUGAAGAGUACAAAUUUCCAAGCCUCUUCAUCAACCAGUUCUAUCCAAGACCCGGAACUCCCGCUGCAAAAGCCGAGCAGGUUCCAGCACACGUGAAAAAACAAAGGACAAAAGAUCUUUCUCGGGUGUUUCAUUCCUACAAUCCAUAUGAUCACAAGAUUGGCGAAAGACAACAAGUGCUAGUCACAGAAGAGUCUUUUGACUCCAAGUUUUAUGUUGCUCAUAACCGAUUCUAUGAGCAGGUUUUAGUACCAAAGAACCCUGCAUUCAUGGGGAAAAUGGUUGAAGUCGACAUUUACGAAUCAGGAAAACACUUUUUGAAAGGACAGCCAGUAUCAGAAACCAGAGUGUAUACACCAUCCAUCAGCAAGCCGCUGGCCAAGGGAGAAGUCUCAGGUUUGACAAAGGCUCUGGAUUAUUUAUGAAGGCACAGAGGGAGAGAGACACACAUUGGACAAAAUUCAAAUGUGAUAUAUGGACACGCCCCUUCUUUGGCUGCGAUUUGUGCAAAAUCACAUCCAGGCUAUAGCCACAGCCCCUGGGGCUCAUCUCUGGUCUGAGGUACAAGAAGCUGGCAACACACUUUUCACACAGGACAAAGCCAUGCUGGCUGUUGAUUCUAAAGGCCCCGUCAUCCAGACUCUUGUGCUGUUAUUGGAAAAAAAACAUGAGACUGGCCAAAAGCAGCUCGGGUCACAUUAUCAGGGAUAGAAGUUCUUUGAUUGACUCAAAUAAAACAACCUGCACUUGACAUCAUAAAAAGAAGUGUUUCUUCAUGAAAUAUGAACUUCAACCAAACUGUGUGUUGCAUCUCAGCCAGAGCCUAUGUUCUCCACUGAAGAAGUUAUUAGAGAAAAAGGCCAACCUUCCAUUUGGACGGUGACCAAUCAGAUUAGCAAUUCCUCUUAGAAGGCAAAAAAGCAGAGGCAGUUAUGUGCGGAGACUUUGACUGAACUCGGGCCUAGGAUGUGACAGGUCCUGUCAGUUGUCACUUCACUGGGUCAAGGCCUGGUCAGAACCCGUGCUCUGUCUAAUCCAGGGCUUCAGGUUGGUAUUUCUUCCCUGAAUGACCUCUAUGUAGUUUGUGGUUUUGCUCAGUGAAGGUUUUUCCAGAAGCCAAUGUGAGAAGCAUGGGUUCUAAGAGCGUCUUUGAUGAGAACCUUAAAAUGAUCUGGCAUCCAAAAUGUUUGGAAAACUUAUCAGACUUUAAUCCCUACUUGGGGAUUCAUAACAAACACAGAAGGCCUUCUUAAGCUCGGGUCAUGUGGAGUUUCUCAAACACAUGUGACUCCAGAAUGUCUUUUUCUUACCAGCUACACGGAGAGAGACGUGUUCUGGAAAACACUGGCAUAACAGCAAACAUUGGAUCCAAAGAGGCUGUGUCUGUGUCUACACUGACUUUCUGACUGAUCCUAUCAGGAAGAUAUCAAUGAGUCUCCAUUAGCUACGUAUAGAAUGAGUCUACACUACACUGGCCUGAUCUGUCUGUCAUGCAGUAGGAAAUAAAUGCCAAUGCCAAUAGCUCUAAGAUAAUGACAGGGGCCAGUGAGAGGGCACAGCACAUAAACUCUUGCCACACAAUCCUGAUGACUUGAGCUUGACCCCUGGGACCUAAAGGACACUGACUCUUUAGAGCUGUCCUCUGCCAUCCACACAUGUGUGUCUAUUCUCUAAUCACACAUCAUACACAUGAUAAUGGUUAAUAAUAAUAAACAAAGUAAUGGGCUAUUAAAAUAUUAAUUUAUAUAUGUAUAUGCCAUAGAUACAAGGAGCCAGCUGACUACAGCCUAUUCAGUAAAGCCGGUCCAUGGCUUUGUUUUAUAAAUAAAAUUUUAUUAGAACACGGCCAUGCUCGUUUAUUUACACAUCAUCUAUGCCUAAGGAUGGGCUGCAGUGCAGAACUGAACAAUUGAGGCAGAUGAACAAUUCCUCCCGGGAAAGUAAAAAGCAAAGGCAGUUGCAACUGGCAAGGAGCAAAGUGUGCUUUUUCCUGUGUGGUUUGUAGAGAGCCCCAAAGUGUUUGCUGUUUGGCUGUUCACUGGAAAACAGAAAGGAAAACAAAAAUGUGCUGACCCCUGACUUGUAAUCAAGGAUAAUACAUA